UGGCUCUCGCAUCGAUGAAGAACGCAGCGAAAUGCGAUAAGUAAUGUGAAUUGCAGAAUUCAGUGAAUCAUCGAAUCUUUGAACGCACCUUGCGCUCCUUGGCAUUCCGAGGAGCAUGCCUGUUUGAGUGUCGUGUAAUUCUCAAUCUCGACUUGUUUGUUGUAGAUUGGAUUUGGGAGCUUGUCGUGUCUCUUCUCUUUGAGAAAAGAAAAGAGGUUGGACUCUCCUUGAAUGCAUUAGCUCGGUCACGUAGUUUGCCCGACGGUUCACGGUGUGAUAGUCUCACUUCAUCGCCGUUCCAACCGUUGGUGCCUGUGUCAUUGCCGGCUUCAAAUCUCUGGCUCUUGUAAAAAAGUGCCUUUACACUUUUGACGCUUGACCUCAAAUCAGGUAGGAUUACCCGCUGA
RNAcentral lists this unclassified non-coding RNA (407 nucleotides) under uncultured fungus. RNAcentral's name for it is "partial contains 5.8S ribosomal RNA and internal transcribed spacer 2". The stretch from base 1 to 133 matches the Rfam family "5.8S ribosomal RNA", at positions 22 to 154 of the family's 154-position model. The record is from RNAcentral. Lineage: Eukaryota; Fungi.